This 674-nucleotide long non-coding RNA is filed under the name Ananas comosus (pineapple). RNAcentral's name for it is "long non-coding RNA (ACOM_LNC028833)". The record is from RNAcentral. Lineage: Eukaryota; Viridiplantae; Streptophyta; Magnoliopsida; Poales; Bromeliaceae.
UAGUGACGUAUGAGAAGAGAAGUGAAAGACGACGAAUUAUUUACCGUUUUUAGGUUGUUAUCAAUGUUUAUGGGAUUUUUGUACGAAUUAUGAGGAUUUUUAUGAGAUUGGUAGGAUUGCGUGUGGAUUAUUUAUUUAUUUAUUUUUGUUUGACCUUUAAGGUUGUAUAUGUAGGCUGUUUAUUUAUUUGGUUUGUUGGAAUAUUUUUGUGGCUGUUAUGAUUAUCUAUACUAUUUAUAAAAGAACGAGUUUUAAAUUUUUUUUCUUUCCCAAAAUGCCGGUCCCUAUUAAUAUAUUUACAAUCAUAUACUAGCAACAGCAUUCAUUCAACUUUAAUGGAAUAAAUCAAAGUCAUACAAUUUUUAUUUUAUUUUUGAAUUAUUAUAAAAUAUAUUAAUUCUUGGUCAUUGGAUCUAAUCCAUUAACUGACGAAUUAAUUAUAUGUCACUUUUUCUACCUAAAUUGUCCUCAAUAGUGCACAUCAAAUUUCACUUUUUAUAUGCGCACUCUAUCUCCUAAUAACUGCCGCCCACAUAAUAUCAUAUUUUAUCACAAAUAAUAUUCGCAAUUUACAUAUUUCUUAAAUAUUUUUUUUCACACGUAAUACCCAUCUACAUAAUAUCCAAUCACGGAAUAUCUUCCGUAUAUAUAAUAUUUAGUCAUAUUUUUUUAAA